AAUGCCUAUAUGAUGAAGAAUUACUUGGAUAAAUUGUCUUUCCGAGAGCGCAAAAAUUAUGCGGAUUGUUUCCUUGUUGCCUUCCUUCUGAUCUGGCCU
Small nucleolar RNA from Rachicladosporium sp. CCFEE 5018, 99 nucleotides. It matches the Rfam family "Small nucleolar RNA Z13/snr52". From Rfam's summary of the family: Z13 or snr52 is a member of the C/D class of snoRNA which contain the C (UGAUGA) and D (CUGA) box motifs. Most of the members of the box C/D family function in directing site-specific 2'-O-methylation of substrate RNAs. Lineage: Eukaryota; Fungi; Ascomycota; Dothideomycetes; Cladosporiales; Cladosporiaceae. The record is from Rfam.